GCGAACGCUGGCGGCAGGCUUAACACAUGCAAGUCGAACGGGCGUAGCAAUACGUCAGUGGCAGACGGGUGAGUAACGCGUGGGAACGUACCUUUUGGUUCGGAACAACACAGGGAAACUUGUGCUAAUACCGGAUAAGCCCUUACGGGGAAAGAUUUAUCGCCAAAAGAUCGGCCCGCGUCUGAUUAGCUAGUUGGUGAGGUAAUGGCUCACCAAGGCGACGAUCAGUAGCUGGUCUGAGAGGAUGAUCAGCCACAUUGGGACUGGGACACGGCCCAAACUCCUACGGGAGGCAGCAGUGGGGAAUAUUGGACAAUGGGCGCAAGCCUGAUCCAGCCAUGCCGCGUGAGUGAUGAAGGCCCUAGGGUUGUAAAGCUCUUUUACCCGGGAUGAUAAUGACAGUACCGGGAGAAUAAGCUCCGGCUAACUCCGU
RNAcentral lists this ribosomal RNA (433 nucleotides) under uncultured bacterium. RNAcentral's name for it is "bacterial SSU rRNA". It matches the Rfam family "Bacterial small subunit ribosomal RNA", at positions 29 to 506 of the family's 1533-position model. The record is from RNAcentral.